RNAcentral lists this ribosomal RNA (465 nucleotides) under Vreelandella stevensii. RNAcentral's name for it is "partial 16S ribosomal RNA". It matches the Rfam family "Bacterial small subunit ribosomal RNA", at positions 338 to 795 of the family's 1533-position model. Lineage: Bacteria; Pseudomonadati; Pseudomonadota; Gammaproteobacteria; Oceanospirillales; Halomonadaceae. The record is from RNAcentral.
UCUACGGGAGGCUGCAGUGGGGAAUAUUGGACAAUGGGCGAAAGCCUGAUCCAGCCAUGCCGCGUGUGUGAAGAAGGCCUUCGGGUUGUAAAGCACUUUCAGUGGGGAAGAAAGCCUUGGGGCUAAUACCCUCGAGGAAGGACAUCACCCACAGAAGAAGCACCGGCUAACUCCGUGCCAGCAGCCGCGGUAAUACGGAGGGUGCGAGCGUUAAUCGGAAUUACUGGGCGUAAAGCGCGCGUAGGCGGUCUGAUAAGCCGGUUGUGAAAGCCCCGGGCUCAACCUGGGAACGGCAUCCGGAACUGUCAGGCUAGAGUGCAGGAGAGGAAGGUAGAAUUCCCGGUGUAGCGGUGAAAUGCGUAGAGAUCGGGAGGAAUACCAGUGGCGAAGGCGGCCUUCUGGACUGACACUGACGCUGAGGUGCGAAAGCGUGGGUAGCAAACAGGAUUAGAUACCCUUGUAGUC